RNAcentral lists this ribosomal RNA (486 nucleotides) under uncultured Prevotella sp. Its description in RNAcentral is "partial 16S ribosomal RNA". The record is from RNAcentral. Lineage: Bacteria; Pseudomonadati; Bacteroidota; Bacteroidia; Bacteroidales; Prevotellaceae.
CACGGAAUUAGCCGGUCCUUAUUCAUGUGAUACAUGCAAAUAAGUAUACAUACCUAACUUUAUUCUCACAUAAAAGCAGUUUACAACCCAUAGGGCCGUCAUCCUGCACGCUACUUGGCUGGUUCAGAUUUGCAUCCAUUGACCAAUAUUCCUCACUGCUGCCUCCCGUAGGAGUUUGGACCGUGUCCCAGUUCCAAUGUGGGGGACCUUCCUCUCAGAACCCCUACUGAUCGAAGUCUUGGUGAGCCGUUACCUCACCAACAAACUAAUCAGACGCAUCCCCAUCCAAUACCGAAAUUCUUUAAUGUAUAAAUCAUGAGAAAAUACAUACCAUCAGGAAUUAGUCCGUCUUCAACGGGUUAUGCCUGAGUAUUGGGUAGGUUGGAUACGCGUUACUCACCCGUGCGCCGGUCGCAUCAUUGUGCAAGCAACAUAUGCUGCCCCUCGACUUGCAUGUAGUUAACGCCUGUACGCUAGGCGUUCAGU